RNAcentral lists this ribosomal RNA (734 nucleotides) under uncultured marine bacterium. Its description in RNAcentral is "bacterial SSU rRNA". It matches the Rfam family "Bacterial small subunit ribosomal RNA", at positions 60 to 790 of the family's 1533-position model. The record is from RNAcentral.
AGUCGAGGGGUAACAGGGAAGCUUGCUUCCGCUGACGACCGGCGCACGGGUGCGUAACGCGUAUGCAACCUACCUCUUACAGGGGGAUAGCCCGAAGAAAUUCGGAUUAAUACCCCAUAGUAUUACAGAUUCGCAUGAUGAAGUAAUUAAAGAUUUAUCGGUAAGAGAUGGGCAUGCGUCUGAUUAGAUUGUUGGUGAGGUAACGGCUCACCAAGUCGACGAUCAGUAGGGGUUCUGAGAGGAAGAUCCCCCACACUGGCACUGAGAUACGGGCCAGACUCCUACGGGAGGCAGCAGUAGGGAAUAUUGGUCAAUGGAGGCAACUCUGAACCAGCCAUACCGCGUGUAGGAAGAAUGCCUUCUGGGUUGUAAACUACUUUUAUAUAGGAAGAAAAAAGCCAUGCGUGGUAAUAUGACGGUACUAUAUGAAUAAGCACCGGCUAGCUCCGUGCCAGCAGCCGCGGUAAUACGGAGGGUGCAAGCGUUGUCCGGAUUUAUUGGGUUUAAAGGGUGCGUAGGCGGUUUAUUAAGUCGGAGUUGAAAUCCCACAGCUUAACUGUGGAACUGGCUCCGAUACUGGUUAACUUGAAUAUGGUUGAGGUAGGCGGAAUUUAAGAUGUAGCGGUGAAAUGCAUAGAUAUCUUAAAGAACACCAAUUGCGUAGGCAGCUUACUGGACCACCACUGACGCUGAGGCACGAAAGCGUGGGUAGCGAACAGGAUUAGAUACCCUGG